Gallus gallus (chicken) is the source of this 654-nucleotide long non-coding RNA. Lineage: Eukaryota; Metazoa; Chordata; Aves; Galliformes; Phasianidae. The record is from Ensembl.
UUUAGGAAAAACGUAGACAUUUUUCUGCCGUUAAGGAACUUUUAGUCAGGAAGGAGAAUUAAUGCAAUCUUUUUACAGAAUUCUAAAUUCCUCAUUGAAGAAUCAAGGGCUUUCUGAAGCUUUGUUGCACUUUGUACUUUAUUUGCCCCUCCUGACACUGGAUUGGUGAUGCCUAUGUGCCAUAGUCCUACGAACAACAGCAACAACAACCACAGCAAUAAUCUAUUGUGACCAUCCAGGACACCGAAGCUUGCAGAGAAAUCAUUGCAGCAUCAAGCGCUGAACUGCUCUGUUUCAAGGACCUCCUGAAGACAGUUUAACCUCAUCAGUGAAGCUUACAACACUAUUUUUAAUGAUGUCUACUCCAGCAAUGCAGAUUGAAUAUUUGACAUGAACAAACAAGAAGCACAGUUAAUAAGCUGAGGGGAAAGAAAGAACAUUAAGGGUCAGAACAGAAGAUCUAUUCUGACCAAGCUACAAAACAGAAGCAGCCAAGCUUCCGAUCUGAGUGAGAAUUUAUUAUGGAAGAAUUAAUAUGUAGGUUGUUUCAAAAGCAAGGCCUCCUAUUUAUUUUCAUGGAAACUGGAAAAGAUGCAGAGGGCACAAUAACACUGUUUGAUAGACCAAAUUCUCAGCUACAAAACACUACUUUCC